AUCCCAAUCCCAAAUCCUAUUCAAAUCAACUCUUAUUUGAAUCCAGUUUAGUAGCACCAGUAACCCAUCCCAUUUAGAACUUAGUUUCUCUGCUCCCAUGCCAUGGCUUCAAUUAGUACCAACUUGAUCCAAGUGAUUCUGUCUUGUUCUGAUUUCUGCAUGCUGGAUGGACUUGAGACUGUCUACCUGUCCUGUCUUACCACCUCUACCGCCUCCCCCCUUUAACCUCCCUCUCCAUCUCUCCCCUCAGGUCUAAGAAGUCCAAGCUGUCCAUAGACAAGUCCACAGAGACAGAUAAUGGCUAUGUGUCUCUGGAUGGGAGGAUAACCUGUAAGAGUAGUGAGGAGAGGCUCCAGCUCCAUGAUGGAGGAUCUCACCACUGUGACCUGCUGCUGAGGUCAGACGAGACGUGUUGGACCGCACCCCCGCCUCCCAACACUCUGCUGCUGCCCCCCGUCACCAAGGUAAACAACAAGGUAACACACACAUUUAUACACACACACACCACCACGCAACACACUGCUACUUCCCCACAGUCAGCAAGGUAAACAACAAGGUAACACACACACACACCAUCACACAACACACUGCUACUUCCCCACAGUCAUCAAGGUAAACAACAAGGUAACACACACAUUUAUAACACACACACACACACCAUCACACAACACACUGCUACUUCCCCACAGUCAGCAAGGUAAACAACAAGGUAACACACACAUUUAUACACACACACACCAUCACACAACACACUGCUACUUCCCCACAGUCAGCAAGGUAAACAACAAGGUAACACACACAUUUAUACACACACACACACCAUCACACAACACACUGCUACUUCCCCACAGUCAUCAAGGUAAACAACAAGGUAACACACACACACACCAUCACACAACACAGGUAUACACAAGGUAUCACAUACACAUGGUUAGCAGAUGUUAUUGCGAGUGUAGUGAAAUGCUUAUGCUUCUAGAUCUGGCAGUGCAGCAGUAUCUAACAGGUAAUAUCUAACAAGUCCACAACUAAACAUAAUACACACAGUCUAGUAAAGGAAUAAGAAUAUAUAAGUAUAAAAUAUAUGGAUGAGCAGUGACAGAGCGGCUAAGAUGCAAUAGAGAGUAUAGAAUAGAUAGUGUAGGAUACAGUAUACAUUAUAUACAUAUGAGAUGAGUAAUGCGAGAUAUGUAAACAUUCUUAAAGUGGCAUUAUUAAUGUGACAAGUGUUCCGUUUAUUAAAGUGGCCAAUGAUAUCAAGUCUGUAGGUAGGCAGCCACCUCUCUGUGUUAGUGAUGGCUGUUUAACGAUCUGAUGGCCUUGAGAUAGAAGCUGUUUUUCCAUCUCUCGGUCCCAGCUUUGAUGCACCUGUACUGACCUCACUUUCUGGAUGUUAGCGGGGUGAACAGGCAGUGGCUCGGGUGGUUGCUGUUUGCUGAAGUCCACGAUCAUCUCUUUUGUUUUGCUGACAUUGAGUGUGAGGUUAUUUUCCUGACAUCACACUCCGACGGCCCUCACCUCCUC
This 1521-nucleotide long non-coding RNA is filed under the name Salmo salar (Atlantic salmon). RNAcentral's name for it is "lncRNA (ENSSSAG00000116137.1)". The record is from RNAcentral. Lineage: Eukaryota; Metazoa; Chordata; Actinopteri; Salmoniformes; Salmonidae.